AAACUGCACAGAUUAAUUUGUCAUGUGGCAGCUAAAAUUGAUAUUUUACACUUUUAAUUUUUGUACGCAAACAAAGAUAUAUUUUUACAAGUUUUUAUACUCUAAGUCUAAAAUAAGGCUAAAUAAAAAGGGCAGAAGAGUAAUGUUAUAUAUUUCUAAAUUAAUGGUUGAUUUCAAAAUACAAAUAAAAAAUAAUUUGACUCUGAAUUUUCAAUAGUUAAAAACUUGACUGGCUACCAUUAUUAUUAUCAAGUCAAAUGAGAGUUUUCCAUAAAAUUGUCUAUGUUGUAAUUUAAGAGAUGUAUACCUACUAAACUCCCCUUUAAAACCGUCAUUACUUUUUUUGCAGAAUACUUUUCAUUGUAAUAAACAACUAACUUGCCCACAUUCUGCCGUCUUUAAACAUACUGUACAUGUACAGUAAUAACAUUUGAAUGUUUAAGUUUCUUUUUAUGAUACAGAGACUUUUUCAUUUUAUUGUGACUCCUAAAAUAUAGAGGUUGGAGAGAAAAUUAGCUGACGUUCUACUAAUUUAUCUUUUGAUAUUUAAUUACAUAACUUGAGUUAACAUUUGUUUUGAAAAGAAGGUGAGAACAGUUGGUCAUUGUCAAAAGGAAAAAUACGAGUUGGAAUUUUAAGUAAGUUAUUGUUUUAUGAGAUGGCACUUUGUAAAAAAGUUAAGAAUCAAAUUAUUUUUAAACUGGGAUGAGUGAACAAAGACCCUGGGAUGAGUGAACAAGACCUACUAUCUCAGAAAUAGUUGUACAAGAUAGAAAUGAUUAACUGUACAGUAACAGAAAAUAUGUAACCUUCUUUUAAAUUAAUUAUCUUUUAUUUCAAAAAGUUAAGAAAACAAUUCAAGUACAUAUUCCGUUAGAAAGGAUGUAAAUUCAGUUACAUGAAGAAUGAACUCGUCUAAAAAAAAGAUAAGUUAUAAAUUCUGUUAAAAAAUCACACCAACAUAUUUUUGGCAAGUAUUCAAAGUGGCAAGAAAUGAGUUGAGAAUAGAGUAGAUAAACUGUUUUAUCUAAACUAAUGGCACAGUAAAUAUUUGCGAGGUGAAGAGAAGCAGUCAUCCACCAGUCACCUUCACUGACUAGAGACACAUCUACCUCCAACCUCUGAACACGCCACAAGUAUCUGUUAGAUCUACAGACCAUCAGGCAAUUGCAACUGAAAAAAACUGUGUAUAGAAGAGACUAAUACUGACCAACAACUAAAAGAUCACUUCCGACCACCACCAACAAUGGCCGGAAAGACAGUUGCUUGAAAGGGCCUCUCAUUGCAAACUCCUCACUGACUACUUUGAGUUGACAAGACAUCGCUGAUCCAGGGCCUCCCCAACACUUGUAAUAAAGUAAUAAAAUCUGCUGACAGAUGUAUAUUCUGCUAUCGUUCCAGGCUUCACCCAUCACUGACCAGACAAGCUUGGAACGGAACGGAGAGAUCUGAACAUGAAACACGUAACACAGCAAGGCACUGGAGACUACUCACUCUAAACAACGCAACGUAACCAUCCGCUCACUGCAGACAACCCGGUACGAGCUACCCAGCUUGCUACGUGCAACGAGCUCACAUUUCCCCCACAGAACUCUGCAAUACUCAAGGUUCCAUUCAAAAUGUUUGUAUGAAUGAUGAACAUGAUCUCUUGAACCGUAUAAGUGCUACACACCAGAACCAAAACCAAAAGGAUGGGCGACAAUGUUCAAUAAUUUCAAGAAAAUAGAGCCCUUUAAUACUGAUCAGUUGAAGCCUGUUUUGUUGGAAAGACAGAAGACUGUUACAGCAGAUCAGCACACUCAAUAUGAUCCUUGCCAGAGAGACGUCUGCUGCCCCUAGGUGCCGCAGCACAUACUUUUGGGACCCUCUAGACUGUGGUAUUCUGUCUCAUAAGAUCUAAGUACAAAUAGGCCCCAUGGACAGUUUAAUCCAUCUGAAGUAAAAGAUUGGCUGCAAGUUUAAGACAAUUUAUUGUAAUUUACACCUAAUAACAAAUAUAUUGCAAAUUCAUAACAAUAGUACAUGACAUUAUAAAGUCAUUCUGUGAUUCACAAAUUACAUUGCUUUCUUAAAAACCAAUUACAUAACUAAUGAAACUGCAGUACCUUUUAAGAUGUUUAGUGCAAGUAGAAAUAGAUUUGAGCAACAUUACGUAAAAAUAGUAAUUAAAAUGUGUGGUACUUAUUGGUAAAAAAAUCCAAUACUCUGUGUUUCCUCCAUGUGGUACAAUGUAAUUCUUAAAUUAAUUAGAAUAUAUUUAUAUACAGGAUGAAAAACUAAAAGUCAAUAAACUAACAUGGAGUAUGAAA
Homalodisca vitripennis (glassy-winged sharpshooter) is the source of this 2309-nucleotide long non-coding RNA. RefSeq lists it as uncharacterized. The record is from RefSeq and is a predicted model, not a curated record. Lineage: Eukaryota; Metazoa; Arthropoda; Insecta; Hemiptera; Cicadellidae. The transcript is spliced from 8 exons.